This is a long non-coding RNA of Equus caballus (horse), 1902 nucleotides long. The record is from Ensembl. NCBI's taxonomy places the organism in Eukaryota, Metazoa, Chordata, Mammalia, Perissodactyla, Equidae.
UGCCGUUGGGGGUGGGGGUGGGUCUGGGCCUGCUGGGGGCUAACUGAACGUCCUCUCUCCUCAUGAAGUCUCAGGUCCUCUCCACGUGGUCUCUCCACAGGGCUGGAUCAGGCUUCCGCACAGCGUGGCGGCCUGGACUGCUCACACAGUGGCUGCAGCCAUCAAGAACAGGCAGCCCAGGAAGAAAGUAGCCUCUGCACCUCCUUUUUGAACCUGCCUGGGAAAUCACCGUGGCCCUUGUCUUUUGAGGAGUUCCUCCAUGCCAGACGCGCUGCCUCGCGUACUUUACACUCCCUGUCUUGUUUAAGCAUCAGCCUGAGUCUGGGAGGAGAGUCCAUUAGCAUCCACACUUACAGAUGAGGAAACUGAGGCUUGCGGAGGCCAGGGGACAGACACAGUUGCCUUGUCUUUAUCUCUGAACAGUACAGGACCUCUACACAGCGCCUGCUUCUACGUGAGAUGGACUAUCAUGGAAACUACACAGAUGAGGAAAUGAGGCUCUGAGAGGUCAACGACCUGCCUGAGUCACAUAGCCAGCGAGUGGGAGCGUCAGCAACCGAACCCAGAAACACCGCUUCCCAGCCACCUGGCUACCCUCGUCCACCCCUUGCUGAAGCCUCUGAGCCCUGUUCGUGUCUGCUCAGUGACGAGCCUGUCAGUGGCCCAAGAAUUGGCGCUCCGGGGAGCUGGGCCUGGAGGCUGCUGCGCUCACACCUGCUCGCUCUGCCAGGCAAGACAUCGGAGCCUCGGAACCUGCAGCAGGCUCCAGAAAGGUGAGAAGACGUGGCGGUGAUCCAAUCAGACAAGAAGCCUCCCCUGGCAGCCACCAUCCGCCGAGCCUCGUGGGGCUCUGGGCUGGCCGUGCCCCGCUGACUCUUCCCCAUCUCUCGGGGGUGGAAACUAUGAUUGUCCUCGUCUUACAGCCGGGGAAACUGAGGUUCUGAGAGCCUGAGCAAUGCACCCAAGGUCACUCAGUUAGUGGCAGAACCGGGCCUGGAACUCAGGCCCUUCUGAAGCCAGAUCCCGAAGAGAGAUUUUUCUCAGCGCUCAUCAGAUUGGGCCAUUCCUUUGCAUAAUCCUCCUCAGUGGCCUCCACACUCCUGAACUCGGCCCAAGGGUCCUGCAAGGCCUGAUCCUGACCUUCAUCUUCUGCCUCAUCUCUCUCCUGUCUAUCUUGAGCCCCUUCACCCUGACUGAGUGCUUUCCUCCAGCCACGCUGAUCCUUCUGAUCCCCAGUGUAAGGUCCAGUGUUCUCUUACCUCCCAGCCUUCACACAUGCUAUUCCCUCUGCCCAGAACGCCCUUCCCUUCCUCCUGAUAUGGUUAACAUUCCUUCUCCUCCAGGGCUCAGCCAGGUGUAACCUCCUCAGGGAUGCUCUCCUCAUCUCCCCAAGGCUGUGAGCUGCCCCACUUCCUGCCCUCCCUAUGCGGGGCUUGCCCCAUCCAGAAGCUAAUUCCCCUACCAGCCUGUGAGUUCCCGAGGCCAGGGUCUUCAUCUGCCUUUUUCAGAGUUAUAGCCCCAGCACACAGGCCAGGGCCCAGCACACAACAGGAGCUCAACUUGUACUUGCUGAAUGAACAAAUCAAUGAAAAAUUGCAGGGGCAGGCCCAGUGGCAUAGUGGUUCAGUUCGUGCACUCUGCUUCAGCAGCCUGGGAUUUGUGGGUUUGGAUCCCGGGUGUGGACGUACACCCCGCUCAUCAAGCCAUGCUGUGGAAGGUCCCCCAUACAAAAUAGAGGUAGAUUGGCACAGAUGUUAGCUCAGGGCCAAUCUUUCUCACCAAAAAAGAAAAAUAAAACUGCCGAAGUCGCUGUCCUAGCCUCCUCUUCUCACAGUGCUGUGAGCUGUAGUCGCAUAAACACAGUGGCUAUUUUUCAUGAUAAAUGAAAAUGGGCGGUUAUUA